CAAUAGCGUAUAUUAAAGUUGUUGCAGUUAGAAAGCUCGUAGUUGGAUUUGUGGCUGUCACGGGCGGCCUAUCACUUAGUGUUAGUGCUUGCCUGUGUCGCCAUCCUUGGGUGGAGCCCGUGUGGCAUUAGGUUGUCGUGCGGGGGAUGCCCAUCGUUUACUGUGAGAAAAUUAGAGUGUUCAAAGCAGGCUUAUGCCAUUGAAUAUGUUAGCAUGGAAUAAUAAGAUAGGACCUCGGUACUAUUUUGUUGGUUUGCGCACCGAGGUAAUGAUUAAUAGGGACAGUUGGGGGUAUUCGUAUUUCAUUGUCAGAGGUGAAAUUCUUGGAUUUCUGAAAGACGAACUACUGCGAAAGCAUUUACCAAGGAUGUUUUCAUUAA
RNAcentral lists this ribosomal RNA (380 nucleotides) under uncultured eukaryote. Its description in RNAcentral is "partial 18S ribosomal RNA". It matches the Rfam family "Eukaryotic small subunit ribosomal RNA", at positions 592 to 976 of the family's 1831-position model. The record is from RNAcentral.